CCUACGGGAGGCAGCAGUGAGGAAUAUUGGUCAAUGGGCGCGAGCCUGAACCAGCCAAGUAGCGUGAAGGAUGACUGCCCUACGGGUUGUAAACUUCUUUUAUAAAGGAAUAAAGUGAGGCACGUGUGCCGUUUUGUAUGUACUUUAUGAAUAAGGAUCGGCUAACUCCGUGCCAGCAGCCGCGGUAAUACGGAGGAUCCGAGCGUUACCCGGAUUUAUUGGGUUUAAAGGGUGCGUAGAGGGGUUGUUAAGUCAGUUGUGAAAGUUUGCGGCUCAACCGUAAAAUUGCAGUUGAAACUGGCGGCCUUGAGUGCAGUAGAGGUAGGCGGAAUUCGUGGUGUAGCGGUGAAAUGCUUAGAUAUCACGAAGAACUCCGAUUGCGAAGGCAGCCUACUAGACUGCAACUGACAUUGAUGCUCGAAAGUGUGGGUAUCAAACAGGAUUAGAUACCCUAGUAGUC
This 460-nucleotide ribosomal RNA is filed under the name uncultured bacterium. RNAcentral's name for it is "partial 16S ribosomal RNA". It matches the Rfam family "Bacterial small subunit ribosomal RNA", at positions 338 to 795 of the family's 1533-position model. The record is from RNAcentral.